UACGAAGGGGGCUAGCGUUGCUCGGAAUCACUGGGCGUAAAGCGCACGUAGGCGGCUUCUUAAGUCAGGGGUGAAAUCCUGGAGCUCAACUCCAGAACUGCCUUUGAUACUGAGUAGCUUGAGUCCGGGAGAGGUGAGUGGAACUGCGAGUGUAGAGGUGAAAUUCGUAGAUAUUCGCAAGAACACCAGUGGCGAAGGCGGCUCACUGGCCCGGUACUGACGCUGAGACGCGAAAGCGUGGGGAGCGAACAGG
RNAcentral lists this ribosomal RNA (253 nucleotides) under uncultured bacterium. Its description in RNAcentral is "partial 16S ribosomal RNA". It matches the Rfam family "Bacterial small subunit ribosomal RNA", at positions 524 to 776 of the family's 1533-position model. The record is from RNAcentral.